CUCACCAGAUAAGACAGCUGAAUGAUAGUCGGGCUGAAGACUCUACUUGACUAGCUGAGAGGAGGUGCAUGGCCGUCGUCAGUUCGUACUGUGAAGCAUCCUGUUAAGUCAGGCAACGAGCGAGACCCACGCCAACAGUUGCCAGCAUGUCCUCCGGGAUGAUGGGGACACUGUUGGGAACCGCCUCUGCUAAAGAGGAGGAAGGAAUGGGCAACGGUAGGUCAGCAUGCCCCGAAUUAUCCGGGCUACACGCGGGCUACAAUGGUCAGGACAAUGGGUAUCGACACCGAGAGGUGGAGGCAAUCUCCUAAACCUGUCCUUAGUUCGGAUUGUGGGCUGCAACUCGCCCACAUGAAGCUGGAAUCCGUAGUAAUCGCGUUUCAAAAUAGCGCGGUGAACUAUCCGUCCUGCUCCUU
Molecule: ribosomal RNA, 416 nt
Filed under: uncultured Methanolinea sp.
Lineage: Archaea; Methanobacteriati; Methanobacteriota; Methanomicrobia; Methanomicrobiales; Methanoregulaceae
Description: bacterial SSU rRNA
Rfam family: Archaeal small subunit ribosomal RNA
Source: RNAcentral